RNA transcript from Scophthalmus maximus (turbot), 3034 nucleotides. It is a transcript of the gene named cyclin-dependent kinase 20, with no coding region annotated. The transcript is spliced from 10 exons. The record is from RefSeq and is a predicted model, not a curated record. NCBI's taxonomy places the organism in Eukaryota, Metazoa, Chordata, Actinopteri, Pleuronectiformes, Scophthalmidae.
AGCAUUUUAGAAAAAAAAUAUUUUACUUGAAAAAAAUGUAUUGAUUAACUACAUAGAGUGACUAAAUAGGCAUGUUGGUCUUCUAUAUUGUAAAUCGAUACAUUUAUUGACUUCUUAUUACCAAAAAUCGCAGUUCUGUCGCUCUGAAUAAAGGAUUCUAAUUGCGCGCCAAGAACUUCCGGGAACUAUCCGAAGUCUACAUGAGUCACGUGACGAGAAGGCAUUUUGGACAUCCGUUAUCACGACUCUCAUUAAACGGCUCUUGACUUUUCCAUCUACUCCGGUUCUGAAGCUUGAGCGGUAUCACUGUAAACAAACAUGGCAGACCGUUGACACCUCUGAAGCUAACGGUAGCUUGUUUAACAUACACGACGUUUGUUUAAAACCGUGCAGCGCGGGGACAAGUUAUCUGCGCAUGUUACCUUCCUGAUUGAAUGCACCCGAAUCGGAAGUGUUCGCUUCCUCAGCUUUUAGCUUAGCCAGCAGGUUACCAAGGAAACGCCAAGCAACAGUACGGUGUUUUAUUUUCUAGAAGCAGAUCUCUCUUUGAGACUCGAUGUUUCUUGUUGUUUCGUGAGCCGAUUCAAAGCCCACACUGGUCUUAUUUUGAUCGUUUUUAGUAACGUUGGGUUAACGGAUGUGUCGUGAGUCGGGAGGAAACGCGUCGUUAAAUUAGUAGAUUUGUGAUCUGAGUUCCGUGUCGAUCUGCUUUUCGGCUCCAGCUCGUCAACUGGAGACCCGCCAAAACACACCCAACAAUUAACUUCUCAUGUCACAGACUGUUUCUACUGUAACCGUCCAUUUUCUUGAGCACAUCAACAGAUGUAAUAAAAAAAUCUCAGAGAAACCGAAUAAUUAAGGAACAAAAGGACCUGCUGUCUCCUGCAGAAAUAAAUGAAUGUUACAAGUGGGAGCUAAUCAGCGAAUAUUUGAUGGAAUACAGAGCAGGGCUCUGAGCCUCUUUAGACCUGGACCCAGUGUGAUGCAGUGACUGGGACAUGGAGCAGUACAGUAUUCUCGGUCGAAUUGGAGAAGGAGCCCACGGCAUCGUGUUCAAGGCCAAACACAUCGAGACUGGAGAAACAGUUGCUCUGAAGAAAGUGGCUCUGAGGAGGCUGGAGGACGGCAUCCCAAACCAGGCUCUGAGGGAGAUCAAGGCCCUGCAGGAGAUUGAAGACAAUCAGCACGUGGUGAAGCUGAAGGAUGUCUUCCCUCACGGUACGGGCUUCGUCCUGGUGUUCGACUUCAUGCUCUCCGACCUGUCUGAGGUCAUCAGAAACUCCCAGCGACCUCUGAGUCCGGCUCAGGUCAAAGGUUACAUGAUGAUGCUGCUAAAGGGCGUCGCCUUCCUGCAUCACAACAACAUUAUGCACCGGGACCUGAAGCCAGCGAACCUUCUCAUCAGCUCCUCAGGUCACCUGAAGAUCGCAGACUUUGGUCUAGCCCGACUGUUUAGUGAGCAGGGAGAGAGGCUAUACAGCCAUCAGGUGGCCACCAGGUGGUACAGAGCUCCUGAGCUGCUAUAUGGAGCCAGAAAGUACGACGAGGGAGUCGACCUAUGGGCGGUGGGCUGUAUUUUUGGGGAGCUACUGAACUCUUCUCCUCUGUUUCCUGGAGAGAAUGACAUCGAACAGCUGUGCUGCGUCCUCAGAGUGCUGGGAACACCAACACAGGACAGCUGGCCAGAAAUCGUGGAGUUACCUGAUUACAAUAAAAUCACCUUCAAGGAAAAUCCAGCGAUCCCAUUGGAGGAGAUCGUCCCUGACACGUCCCCUCAGGCCGUCGACCUGCUCUACAAAUUCCUGGUGUAUCCGUCCAAACAGCGCUGCUCAGCCAGACAGGCUCUCCUUCAUCCCUACUUCUUCUCCUCUCCUCUUCCUGCUCACCACUCGGAGCUUCCAAUUCCACAGAGGGGGGGCCGACCCCCCCGCCAGCACCUGCAGGCCCCGCCCACUGACUUUUCAGUGGAUCUGCCCCUGCAGAACAGUGUGGUAGACCCUGAGCUGCUGCAAGGAUACGCUUCCUGCCUCUGAACAAACAAAAAUAAUCUGAUUAAAGAAACCAGGCACAAACUCUGUCGCCUCCCACACUUCCUGCUCCUCCUCCUCACCUAAGACCAACAGUCAGACUCAAGAGUCACGAUGACUCUGAGCAGCUCUUCAUUCUCUGUUGGACCCGCCCCUUCACAUGCCCUGUACAACAAUCUGUACAACAAUCUGCAUCAGGUACUACAAAGGUAUUACAACCCGCACCAGGUACUACAGACCUGAGACUUCCUGCGUGUUUCAGGUCAACAGGCCGUGGACGCUGAAGAAAGAAGGAAUCCAAACCAGAAACCGCAAAGUGACCAAUAAGAAAAGAAGAGAGGGGCUGCCAAUCAGAGCCUGAGCAGCCCGGCCUAGUUAAGUCCUCGUCCUUCUGUGGCCUCUUCUCACUCCUUCACACAGCUUCUCCUUGAGCACCUUUUCUUGAUCCAUCUUUGUGGAUAUUUGACAGGUUUUCUCAUUUCAUAGUAGACCAAACAUUUUCUAAUUUUUAUUUAUUUUAGAGCAUUCAGUGUAUUUUUGUGAAACCUCUGAUGCACAAAUGUUGAACGCAACAUAUAUAAUAUGUGAACUGAGGAUAUAGAUUUUAGUGGUGGUAGUAGUGCACUAGAUAUGUCUCAAAAUAAUCUCAGAAUCUUUGACUGUCCCAAUUCAAUUUCCUGGCUGUUGUGUAAAAGUUUCCAAAUAUCAUACAAUAUGCUUUUGACCAUAACAAAAUCACAAAUAUUGUGCCUCUGCAUUUGAUAUGACUCUGACUGACUUCCAGCCGUUCUAUAGUAAACUAAUAUACAAACAUUUCCAUUACAUAAAUCUGAACUCUGGAUCAAACUAGGUUCAGACUUGUUUCAUGUUGUCAACAUUAGACUCAAAGAUCCUCUGAGGGGAUUCAAUUUCUGAAAAAAAAAAUCUAUAAAUCUGACUGAAUGAUUAAUAAACAGCCCCCCUCAGUAAAAACCUGCUGAAUAAAAGUCUGGUGAAUGGAAGUGAAA